Molecule: ribosomal RNA, 492 nt
Filed under: uncultured bacterium
Lineage: Bacteria
Description: partial 16S ribosomal RNA
Rfam family: Bacterial small subunit ribosomal RNA
Source: RNAcentral
AGUGAACGCUGGCGGUAGGCCUAACACAUGCAAGUCGAACGGCAGCACAGUAAGAGCUUGCUCUUACGGGUGGCGAGUGGCGGACGGGUGCGGAAUACAUCGGAAUCUACUUUUUCGUGGGGGCUAACGUAGGGAAACUUACGCUAAUACCGCAUACGACCUACGGGUGAAAGAAGGGGAUCUUCGGACCUUGCGCGAUUGAAUGAGCCGAUGUCGGAUUAGCUAGUUGGCGGGGUAAAGGCCCACCAAGGCGACGAUCCGUAGCUGGUCUGAGAGGAUGAUCAGCCACACUGGGACUGAGACACGGUCCAGACUCCUACGGGAGGCAGCAGUGGGGAAUAGUGGACAAUGGGCGCAAGCCUGAUCCAGCCAUACCGCGUGGGUGAAGAAGGCAUUCGGGUUGUAAAGCCCUUUUGUUGGGAAAGAAAAGUAGCAGGUUAAUACCCCGCUGUUCUGACGGUACCCAAAGAAUAAGCACCGGCUAACUUCGUG